AGAUUGAGAGUACCUUUGAAAUUGCACAGUUCAUCGAAAAGCAAAUUCUUUCAAAUCUGUACACAACGGACCCUGAAAAGUUCUGGACAAUCUUCCACCAAAUGAUAGCAGAUGUUCCAGAAGUGCCACCGAGUUUCUACAACAGCCAAAUGUUGGAUACAUCAUCGAUUUACAUCAAGCAGUGGUGCCUUUUAAGUGCUAUGUGUACUUCGAAUAUUUCCACCAAGGAAAUGGACGUGAACGGUGCUUUCUUGCUAAUAGAAACCAAGAUUAAUAAACUUUUAGAUGCACUCUGAUGAUGGACACACAGCCUGAUCUGGUCAUCCUGAAUUGCAUUUCUGUCUUUGCUUGGGACCAUGGUUCUCGAGCCUGUGUCACACGUGUGUUGAAAUGACACCGUUCUCUAAAUAUAGUGUACUUCUUGUCAAU
Molecule: long non-coding RNA, 429 nt
Organism: Haliotis rubra (blacklip abalone)
Lineage: Eukaryota; Metazoa; Mollusca; Gastropoda; Lepetellida; Haliotidae
Exons: 2
Source: RefSeq, a predicted model, not a curated record